GGAUGAACGCUAGCGGGAGGCCUAACACAUGCAAGCCGAGCGGGAGUUGUUUAUUAGCUUGCUAAUGAAUAAUGAGAGCGGCGUACGGGUGCGUAACACGUGUGCAACCUGCCUUUAUCUGGGGGAUAGCCUUCCGAAAGGGAGAUUAAUACCGCAUAAUAUAUUUCUGGGCAUCUGGGGAUAUUGAAAGCUUUGGCGGAUAGAGAUGGGCACGCGCAAGAUUAGCUAGUUGGUAAGGUAACGGCUUACCAAGGCGAUGAUCUUUAGGGGGCCUGAGAGGGUGAUCCCCCACACUGGGACUGAGACACGGCCCAGACUCCUACGGGAGGCAGCAGUGAGGAAUAUUGGACAAUGGGUGGAAGCCUGAUCCAGCCAUCCCGCGUGAAGGACGACGGUUCUAUGGAUUGUAAACUUCUUUUAUAUAGGGAUAAACCUACUCUCGUGAGGGUAGCUGAAGGUACUAUAUGAAUAAGCACCGGCUAACUCCGU
RNAcentral lists this ribosomal RNA (489 nucleotides) under Flavobacteriales bacterium 'ARUP UnID 149'. RNAcentral describes it as "bacterial SSU rRNA". It matches the Rfam family "Bacterial small subunit ribosomal RNA", at positions 27 to 506 of the family's 1533-position model. Lineage: Bacteria; Pseudomonadati; Bacteroidota; Flavobacteriia; Flavobacteriales. The record is from RNAcentral.